UACGUAGGGUGCAAGCGUUAAUCGGAAUUACUGGGCGUAAAGCGUGCGCAGGCGGUUAUGCAAGACAGAUGUGAAAUCCCCAGGCUUAACCUGGGAACUGCAUUUGUGACUGCAUAGCUGGAGUACGGUAGAGGGGGAUGGAAUUCCGCGUGUAGCAGUGAAAUGCGUAGAUAUGCGGAGGAACACCGAUGGCGAAGGCAGUCCCCUGGACCUGUACUGACGCUCAUGCACGAAAGCGUGGGGAGCAAACAGG
Molecule: ribosomal RNA, 253 nt
Filed under: uncultured bacterium
Lineage: Bacteria
Description: partial 16S ribosomal RNA
Rfam family: Bacterial small subunit ribosomal RNA
Source: RNAcentral